GCCGGCAGCUAGCUCUCUGCAACUCUUACAGUCACCCACUGAAGCUAAGCAGGGCUGAGCCUGGUAAGUACCUGGAUGGGAGACCACAUGGGAAAGCUAGGUUGCUGCUGGAA
This 113-nucleotide ribosomal RNA is filed under the name Danio rerio (zebrafish). The record is from RNAcentral. Lineage: Eukaryota; Metazoa; Chordata; Actinopteri; Cypriniformes; Danionidae.